UAAACUUCAAAGGCAGGGCUUUCAAAUCACUAAGCAAUUGGCAAACACGUGUUCUAUUUAUGUCAUAAUUUCUCUUUCCCUCUCCCCCUAUAUUCUUAUCGUCUCCUCUGUCUCUGUGUAGAGAACAAAAAAAGUUCGCAGAAAAUCUCAAACAAAUAGACCUAAAUUCAAAGACAAAGUUGUGAUUAAAGCAGGCAACAACCCUUUUUGACAAAGUUGUGCUGAAAUUUCACAUUUGGUGGACAUUUAUGGGUGACAUAUUCUACGACAAGAAGCAAAGGAAAAACAAGAAAGUGCAAGCCAAAGGAAAAGGAGAAAAUACGAACAAGGAGAAGUUAUUUUAGCUGCAUAUGUAAUGCUUCGUUAGUUCUUCUCGAUUUCUCAUUGUGUCUUGCUCUUAGCGUAAUAUACAGGCUUAAUUAUAAAUGCGCUUAAAUUUCUGAUAGUUGAUGUGAUAGAGAGUCUAUUAGGCUACCUUUUGUGUUAGAAUUGUUUUGGCAUGCAUAUGAAACUGUAGUUCUACUAUUAAAAGGCAACUUACGAUUGAAAUCACUCACAUUUCAUAAGUUUCUAACUAAAAUUCUUGAUUACUAAGUUAGCUAUGUGGACAAGUUGUGAAGAUGAAUAUGUAUUUAUCAGUUAUGAAUUUGGAAUGCAAAGCCUGUAAUCACACAAGUUAAUGCAAAAUAUUUUAUUUGUUCGAGUUUGAAUUUACUGGAUAUCAAUAGCUUCUCCAGCCUUCAUUGAAUUUCUGCAGCCACUUCUUUGUAGAACUUAUAGUUUCAACUUUUUUCUUGGGUUAAUUGUUUUAUUAACUCUAGCAAUUCCUGCUUUCUGUUCACAUGGUUUUUGCAAGGCGUGCUUUACUGUCUACAUAAGAUGUUUCAGGUAAAAAAAUGUGUUUUUAAUUACUGUUUUAUUUAAAAGUUUGGUAUUUUCACUGUGCAAGGAUACUUCAUGAGGUUUUCUCAGAACGAUAUCAUUCUCAGUUUUACUCUAUUUCAUGCUGUCAUGUGUCAAUAUGAGCUUAUUGUUUUUAUCUUCUAAGUGGUCUUCAUAAAAAAUGUGAAUUCCAUGGGUAAAGCAAGAGCUUUAGUCGAUGGCAAAUUGCCGAACAUGUUAUGAAGCUAUAUAACAUGUUAUGAACAAUUUAUUGCAGAAGUUAAAAGCUAAGGUAUGCCAUAUAAUGUUUUUGACAUUUUCACCAGUUUUCAUUAAUGCUGCUCAGUGUACUCCAUCCAUUUUCUACUAAACUAAUAAUUGGCUCCCUCCCCUUUCUUCAUUCCUUUUGUUGAAAGGGAGAGAUCAUAAGUUUUAUUUGAGAGUUAGCAGUUUUGGGUUCUUGAAUUUGAAAGAAGGGUAUGUAAAGCUUCUCAUUUAAUGUCUGCUUUUCGAAAGGCCGGUCAAAGUUAAGCUCUCAAAGCUCAUUAUUUGAGUUGGGAGUUCACCUUGAAAACAAUGCUCUGCUACAAAGUCUGCCUCUAGAGAUAAAUGUCGCUGCCACCGAGGUGGUGAAGAUCUUGAAUGCAAGAGUGGAUUUGCCUUUAUGGAAAAGAGCCUCUUCGUUGCAAAACGGAACCUACCACCACUUUUUGAGAACCACCAGAAGACAUUCAGGAUAGUUUGGCAAAUAACUAACAGGGGACAACAACUCUCUCUAUGGUCUCUAUCGCUCCCCGGCAGGAACCAGCAGACGUUGCCACUUUGUUUAGCCACUUUAGUAAAAGAUUAAGCACCUUUUGUGUAGUCAACAAUAUUGUAUUGAGGAUUCUCCAUCGUUAGUAGCUUUAAAUACUUGUCCUACUGUGAUGUCUCACUCACACCGGGAAAUUCUUUUCAUGACCAAAGAAAAAAAAAGGAAGACAUUAGCAGAAAAUUGAAGCUCCCGCAAAAGACAAACGUGUGUUGGAGAAUGACGUGUUGGGAGCUCUUUAAGCAUUUGCAUUUUUUUAUUCUUAGUCUUCUGGCAUCUAUUAAAGUGAAGCUCAUGUGCAAUUCUUUUAUGAAGAUAAUGCUAUGUAACUUUCAUUUAGUAUGAUAUAUGAUACAAUUGUAUAUUCAAACAA
Molecule: long non-coding RNA, 2066 nt
Organism: Lycium barbarum (goji berry)
Lineage: Eukaryota; Viridiplantae; Streptophyta; Magnoliopsida; Solanales; Solanaceae
Exons: 3
Source: RefSeq, a predicted model, not a curated record